RNAcentral lists this ribosomal RNA (245 nucleotides) under uncultured bacterium. RNAcentral's name for it is "partial small subunit ribosomal RNA". It matches the Rfam family "Bacterial small subunit ribosomal RNA", at positions 26 to 285 of the family's 1533-position model. The record is from RNAcentral.
AGAAUCAACGCUGGCGGCGUGCCUAACACAUGCAAGUCGCACGAGAAAGGGGAGCAAUCCCUGAGUACAGUGGCGCACGGGUGAGUAACACGUGAAUCAUCUACCUCCGAGUGGGGAAUAACUGAGAGAAAUCUUAGCUAAUACCGCAUAAUACCCACGGGUCAAAGCAGUAAUGCGCUUGGAGAGGAGUUCGCGGCAGAUUAGUUAGUUGGCGGGGUAAUGGCCCACCAAGACGAUGAUCUGUA